AUUAAAGCUCCCUUCGGGGAGUGCAUAAAGUGGCGCACGGGNAGUAACACGUAAGUAAUCUACCCUCGGGUGGGGAAUAACGUUCGGAAACGGACGCUAAUACCGCAUAAUGCAGCGGCACCGCAAGGUGACAGUUGUUAAAGAUUUAUUGCCUGGGGAGGAGCUUGCGGCAGAUUAGCUUGUUGGUAAGGUAACGGCUUACCAAGGCGACGAUCUGUAUCCGGUCUAAGAGGACGGUCGGACACACUGACACUGAAUAACGGGUCAGACUCCUACGGGAGGCAGCAGUCGGGAAUUUUGGGCAAUGGGGGAAACCCUGACCCAGCAACGCCGCGUGAAGGAUGAAGUAUUUCGGUAUGUAAACUUCGAAAGAAUAGGAAGAAUUAAUGACGGUACUAUUUAUAAGGUCCGGCUAACUACGUGCCAGCAGCCGCGGUAAUACGUAGGGACCAAGCGUUGUUCGGAUUUACUGGGCGUAAAGGGCGCGUAGGCGGCGCGGUAAGUCACUUGUGAAAUCUCUGAGCUUAACUCAGAACGGCCAAGUGAUACUGCAGUGCUAGAGUGUGGAAGGGGCAAUCGGAAUUCUUGGUGUAGCGGUGAAAUGCGUAGAUAUCAAGAGGAACACCUGAGGUGAAGACGGGUUGCUGGGCCAACACUGACGCUGAUGCGCGAAAGCCAGGGGAGCAAACGGGAUUAGAUACCCCGGUAGUCCUGGCCCUAAACGAUGAAUACUUGGUGUCUGGAGUUUUAAUGCUCCGGGUGCCGUCGCUAACGUUUUUAGUAUUCCGCCUGGGGAGUACGCUCGCAAGAGUG
This 813-nucleotide ribosomal RNA is filed under the name uncultured Bacillota bacterium. RNAcentral describes it as "bacterial SSU rRNA". It matches the Rfam family "Bacterial small subunit ribosomal RNA", at positions 66 to 896 of the family's 1533-position model. Lineage: Bacteria; Bacillati; Bacillota. The record is from RNAcentral.